RNAcentral lists this long non-coding RNA (428 nucleotides) under Olea europaea (common olive). RNAcentral's name for it is "long non-coding RNA (OEUR_LNC006496)". Lineage: Eukaryota; Viridiplantae; Streptophyta; Magnoliopsida; Lamiales; Oleaceae. The record is from RNAcentral.
UGAAAAACCUUUGCUUAUCCAAUGAAAAUGCAUAAUCAGAUACUAUCUCAAAAGUCGAAAGCAACAAUUAUGAGUCACCUUUUUUUCUUUUAACAAGAGGAGGCUGUACAACCACAUGCAUAGUAAUAAAUCCUCCAGGAAGGUCACCAACAAGAAUUCUAGACUCAGCAAGCGUCUUCCCAUUCUCCAAAACUGUUCCAGCAUGUAUUAGUUUCAUAUCAUUCACUGACUUCGCCUUUGCUUAUCCAAUGAAAAUGCAUAAUCAGAUACUAUCUCAAAAGUCGAAAGCAACAAUUAUGAGUCACCUUUUUUUCUUUUAACAAGAGGAGGCUGUACAACCACAUGCAUAGUAAUAAAUCCUCCAGGAAGGUCACCAACAAGAAUUCUAGACUCAGCAAGCGUCUUCCCAUUCUCCAAAACUGUUCCAG